Macaca nemestrina (pig-tailed macaque) is the source of this 334-nucleotide unclassified non-coding RNA. Its record names the gene 7SK. It matches the Rfam family "7SK RNA". Rfam says of the family: 7SK was discovered as an abundant small nuclear RNA in the mid-70s but a possible function has only recently been suggested. Two independent studies have found that 7SK RNA binds the CDK9/cyclin T complex (known as elongation factor P-TEFb). The record is from Ensembl. Lineage: Eukaryota; Metazoa; Chordata; Mammalia; Primates; Cercopithecidae.
GGAUAUGAGAGCGAUCUGGCUGAGACGUCUGUUACCCUAUUGAUUGCCAGGGUUGAUUCAGCCACCUGGCUAGCUAGGUGGGUGUGCUCUUCUUCCCUCACCGCUUUAUGUACGUCCCUCAAUAAGUGCGCACUCUGUGGAAGAGGACGUCCAUCCCCCAGAGAAGAGGACCAGUCUUCAAUCAAAGGUAUAGGAGUAGUUGCGCUCCUCUGCUAGACUCUCCAAACAUGCUUUUCUUCUUCUUCUUCUUCUUUUUGAGAUGGAGUCUCAUUCUGUUGCUAGGCUGGAGUGCAAUGGCAUGAUCUCAACUCACUGCAACCUCUGCCUCCCGGGU